GGGGCUGUGACUCAGUGGUAGAGAGCUUGCCUAGCAUGUGUGAGGCACUAGGUUAGAUUCUCAGCACCA
This 69-nucleotide transfer RNA is filed under the name Marmota monax (woodchuck). RNAcentral's name for it is "tRNA.Ala". The record is from RNAcentral. Lineage: Eukaryota; Metazoa; Chordata; Mammalia; Rodentia; Sciuridae.